This 216-nucleotide long non-coding RNA is filed under the name Mytilus galloprovincialis (Mediterranean mussel). Lineage: Eukaryota; Metazoa; Mollusca; Bivalvia; Mytilida; Mytilidae. The record is from RNAcentral.
GUGGAAGAAGGUGAAUAAAAGGUAACUUGAAUUACCAUAAAAGCAGCCCCACUAACCCAGCCUGCUUUGAUCCAUUAUCGUUAUGACAUAUUAUUUUUUUUUUCAAACAAGAAUGUGUCAUAAGUACAUGGAUUUCCCAUCCGUACAAUCAUUUUCUAUGUUCAGUGGACUGGGAAAAUUAGGUUAAAUCUUUAAUUUGGCAGUAAAAUUAGAAAG